CUAAGCAUAUCAAUAAGCGGAGGAAAAGAAACUAACAAGGAUUCCCCUAGUAACUGCGAGUGAAGCGGGAAAAGCUCAAAUUUAAAAGCUGGCAGUCUUUGAUUGUCCGCAUUGUAAUCUAGAGAAGUGUUACCCGCGUUGGACCGUGUAUAAGUCUCCUGGAAUGGAGCGUCAUAGAGGGUGACAAUCCCGUCUUUGACACGGAUACCCAAGGCUUUAGUGGUGCGCUCUCGAAGAGUCGAGUUGUUUGGGAAUGCAGCUCAAAAUGGGUGGUAAAUUCCAUCUAAAGCUAAAUAUUGGCGAGAGACCGAUAGCGAACAAGUACCGUGAGGGAAAGAUGAAAAGAACUUUGGAAAGAGAGUUAAACAGUACGUGAAAUUGCUGAAAGGGAAACGCUUGAAGUCAGUCGCGUUAAUUGGAGAUCAACUUGGCUCUUGCUGGGCUUAUUCUCUUAUUGACGGGUCAGCAUCAGUUUUGAUCAUUGGAAAAGGGUGAAGGGAAUGUGGCAUCCUUGGAUGUGUUAUAGCCUUUCAUCAUAUACAGUGAUUGGGACUGAGGAACUCAGCACGCCGCAAGGCCGGGAUUUAUCCACGUUCGUGCUUAGGAUGCUGGCAUAAUGGCUUUAAUCGACCCGUCUUGAAACACGGACCAAGGAGUCUAACAUACCUGCAAGUGUUUGGGUGGCAAACCCGAGCGCGUAAUGAAAGUGAAAGUUGAGAUCCCUAAUUUUGGGGAGCAUCGACGCCCGGACCAGACCUUUUGUGACGGAUCUGCGGUAGAGCAUGUAUGUUGGGACCCGAAAGAUGGUGAACUAUGCCUGAAUAGGGUGAAGCCAGAGGAAACUCUGGUGGAGGCUCGUAGCGAUUCUGACGUGCAAAUCGAUCGUCAAAUUUGGGUAUAGGGGCGAAAGACUAAUCGAACCAUCUAGUAGCUGGUUCCUGCCGA
This 945-nucleotide ribosomal RNA is filed under the name Gymnopilus sp. RNAcentral describes it as "LSU rRNA". It matches the Rfam family "Eukaryotic large subunit ribosomal RNA", at positions 34 to 964 of the family's 3401-position model. The record is from RNAcentral. Lineage: Eukaryota; Fungi; Basidiomycota; Agaricomycetes; Agaricales; Galerinaceae.